UGCAGUCGAACGAUGAAGCCCUUCGGGGUGGAUUAGUGGCGAACGGGUGAGUAACACGUGGGCAAUCUGCCCUGCACUCUGGGACAAGCCCUGGAAACGGGGUCUAAUACCGGAUGACACUUUCUCUCGCAUGGGAGAAGGUUGAAAGCUCCGGCGGUGCAGGAUGAGCCCGCGGCCUAUCAGCUAGUUGGUGAGGUAGAAGCUCACCAAGGCGACGACGGGUAGCCGGCCUGAGAGGGCGACCGGCCACACUGGGACUGAGACACGGCCCAGACUCCUACGGGAGGCAGCAGUGGGGAAUAUUGCACAAUGGGCGAAAGCCUGAUGCAGCGACGCCGCGUGAGGGAUGACGGCCUUCGGGUUGUAAACCUCUUUCAGCAGGGAAGAAGCGCAAGUGACGGUACCUGCAGAAGAAGCGCCGGCUAACUACGUGCCAGCAGCCGCGGUAAUACGUAGGGCGCAAGCGUUGUCCGGAAUUAUUGGGCGUAAAGAGCUCGUAGGCGGCUUGUCACGUCGGUUGUGAAAGCCCGGGGCUUAACCCCGGGUCUGCAGUCGAUACGGGCAGGCUAGAGUGUGGUAGGGGAGAUCGGAAUUCCUGGUGUAGCGGUGAAAUGCGCAGAUAUCAGGAGGAACACCGGUGGCGAAGGCGGAUCUCUGGGCCAUUACUGACGCUGAGGAGCGAAAGCGUGGGGAGCGAACAGGAUUAGAUACCCUGGUAGUCCACGCCGUAAACGGUGGGAACUAGGUGUUGGCGACAUUCCACGUCGUCGGUGCCGCAGCUAACGCAUUAAGUUCCCCGCCUGGGGAGUACGGCCGCAAGGCUAAAACUCAAAGGAAUUGAC
This 842-nucleotide ribosomal RNA is filed under the name Streptomyces sp. RNAcentral describes it as "bacterial SSU rRNA". It matches the Rfam family "Bacterial small subunit ribosomal RNA", at positions 56 to 914 of the family's 1533-position model. The record is from RNAcentral. Lineage: Bacteria; Bacillati; Actinomycetota; Actinomycetes; Kitasatosporales; Streptomycetaceae.